RNAcentral lists this ribosomal RNA (490 nucleotides) under uncultured bacterium. RNAcentral's name for it is "partial 16S ribosomal RNA". It matches the Rfam family "Bacterial small subunit ribosomal RNA", at positions 29 to 505 of the family's 1533-position model. The record is from RNAcentral.
AGUGAACGCUGGCGGUAGGCCUAACACAUGCAAGUCGAACGGCAGCACAGUAAGAGCUUGCUCUUACGGGUGGCGAGUGGCGGACGAGUGAGGAAUACAUCGGAAUCUACUUUUUCGUGGGGGAUAACGUAGGGAGACUUACGCUAAUACCGCAUACGACCUACGGGUGAAAGCAGGGGAUCUUCGGACCUUGCGCGAUUGAAUGAGCCGAUGUCGGAUUAGCUAGUUGGCGGGGUAAAGGCCCACCAAGGCGACGAUCCGUAGCUGGUCUGAGAGGAUGAUCAGCCACACUGGAACUGAGACACGGUCCAGACUCCUACGGGGGGCAGCAGUGGGAAAUAUUGGACAAUGGGCGCAAGCCUGAUCCAGCCAUACCGCGUGGGGGAAGAAGGCCUGCGGGUUGUAAAGCCCUUUUGUGGGGAAAAAAAAGCAGCAGGUUAAUACCCCGCUGUUCUGACGGUACCAAAAGAAUAAGCACGGGCUAACUUCG